This 459-nucleotide ribosomal RNA is filed under the name uncultured bacterium. Its description in RNAcentral is "bacterial SSU rRNA". It matches the Rfam family "Bacterial small subunit ribosomal RNA", at positions 340 to 789 of the family's 1533-position model. The record is from RNAcentral.
UACGGAAGGCAGCAGUGGGGAAUAUUGCACAAUGGGCGAAAGCCUGAUGCAGCUAUGCCGCGUGUAUGAAGAAGGCCUUAGGGUUGUAAAGUACUUUCAUCGGGGAGGAAAAACAAAACUAAUAAUUUUAUUUCUUGACGUUACCCGAAAAAGAAGCACCGGCUAACUCCGUGCCAGCAGCCGCGGUAAUACGGAGGGUGCUAGCGUUAAUCAGAAUUACUGGGCGUAAAGAGCACGUAGGUGGUUUUUUUAAGUCAGAUGUGAAAUCCCCUGGGCUUAACCUAGGAACUGCAUUUUGAAACUGAAAUACUAGAGUAUCGUAGAGGGAGGUAGAAUUCUAGGUGUAGCGGUGAAAUGCGUAGAUAUCUGGAGGAAUACCUGUGGCGAAAGCGGCCUCCUAAACGAAUACUGACACUGAGGUGCGAAAGCGUGGGGAGCAAACAGGGAUUAGAUACCCGU